UACGUAGGGGCCAAGCGUUGUCCGGAAUUAUUGGGCGUAAAGAGCUCGUAGGCGGUUCGACAAGUCGACUGUGAAAUCUCCACGCUCAACGUGGAGGGGUCAGUCGAGACUGUCGUGACUCGAGUCCGGUAGGGGAGUGUGGAAUUCCCGGUGUAGCGGUGAAAUGCGCAGAGAUCGGGAGGAACACCCGUAGCGAAGGCGGCACUCUGGGCCGGUACUGACGCUGAGACGCGAAAGCGUGGGGAGCGAACAGG
This 254-nucleotide ribosomal RNA is filed under the name uncultured bacterium. RNAcentral describes it as "partial 16S ribosomal RNA". It matches the Rfam family "Bacterial small subunit ribosomal RNA", at positions 524 to 776 of the family's 1533-position model. The record is from RNAcentral.